AACACUGUUAACCUGCGGUACCUGCGGAGGGAUCAUUAUAGUAUAUGGAAUCUCCAUUCUAUAAACCACUCUGCGUAUCUUGUAACUGUUGCUUCCAUGGGACUUGGUUCCGCCACACCGGCUUCACGGCUGGUGAGCGCCCAUGGAAGGAGAAACAAAACUCUUCUUUGAAAUGUAGUCAGUCUGAACAAGUUUUUAUAAACGUUAAAACUUUUAACAAUGGAUCUCAGAUCGGAAGAG
This 240-nucleotide unclassified non-coding RNA is filed under the name soil metagenome. RNAcentral describes it as "partial contains 5.8S ribosomal RNA, internal transcribed spacer 2, and large subunit ribosomal RNA". The record is from RNAcentral.